GGGCUGCAGCAAGGAAUUUUGUGCAAUGGGCGAAAGCCUGACACAGCGACGCCGCGUGGGGGAUGAAGGCCCUCGGGUUGUAAACCCCUUUUCUCAGGGAAGAAUAAUGACGGUACCUGAGGAAUAAGCCUCGGCUAACUACGUGCCAGCAGCCGCGGUAAUACGUAGGAGGCAAGCGUUAUCCGGAUUUACUGGGCGUAAAGAGGGCGCGGGCGGUCUUUCAAGUCAAAUGUUAAAUCUCCCGGCUUAACCGGGAGGGAUCACUUGAUACUGUUAGGCUAGAGGGCAGCAGGAGGAGGUGGAAUUCUCGGUGUAGUGGUGAAAUGCGUAGAUAUCGGGAGGAACACCAGUGGCGAAGGCGGCCUCCUAGGCUGUUUCUGACGCUGAGGCCCGAAAGCGUGGGUAGCAAACAGGAUUAGAUACCCCAGUAGUC
Molecule: ribosomal RNA, 433 nt
Filed under: uncultured microorganism
Description: bacterial SSU rRNA
Rfam family: Bacterial small subunit ribosomal RNA
Source: RNAcentral